Monodelphis domestica (gray short-tailed opossum) is the source of this 1809-nucleotide long non-coding RNA. The record is from Ensembl. Lineage: Eukaryota; Metazoa; Chordata; Mammalia; Didelphimorphia; Didelphidae.
AAAGAGAAAAUAGACAAAAGACAAAAGGUGGCUUGCAGAAGAUCAUACAAAGCAUCCAUGCCUGUACUUACCGUGGCACCUAGGGGACGUCUCCUAGAGAGGGUCCAUUGCUCUGUGUUCUACCUAAAGUGAAAGUUAAGAAAUGUGGAGAAAGUCAGGGCAGUGACUUUGGAAUGGCAGGUGCCCACAGGAGAGGGGUGGGGCAGGCAACAAGCAGGAAGUUCCCAAGUAGGUGGAGCUCUGGGAUAGUCUUUGGGUCUAAAGUAAUGAAAGGUAUUUUGAAAUACAGGCUGGAGUGUCAGCAGUCCUGUUAUAAGAAAACCCAAAAAUUAUAGUGAAGGGAGAAUUGGAGCUCAGGAAAAAGCAGAGAGAUUUUACAAGGCAGCAUUGGGGACAAUCUCUGAGGGGAAUUUAGACUGCUUUUCUCUGAUGCUAUGGGGUUAUUCUCUUGCUGUAUAAAUUCCCUGUGGCUCCCUAUUUUCUGUUUAUGUCCCUUACAAAGUGGUCUCUGGCAUGUGACUGGCCAUAAUGAGGUAGGGCUGAGAAAAUGAGCAGCAUGGGGACCAGGUCAUGUGUUCAGCUGUGGGGAUGGAAGUGGGGAACAGAAAAGAUGAGCUGAUCAUCUGAAGCAUUCAAGUUCAAGAUAAGAUGCAUUAUGUGGCUUCUAUAGGCAAGUCUUUGUUCUCAGUACUAUUAGAGAGAAAAAGAAAGAAAGAAAGAAAGAAAGAAAGAAAGAAAGAAAGAAAGAAAGAAAGAAAGAAAGAAAGAAAGAAAGAAAGAAAGAAAGAAAGAAAGAAAAAAGAAAGAAAGAAAGAAAGAAAGAAAGAAAGAAAGAAAGAAAGAAAGAAAGAAAGAAAGGAAGGAAGGAAGGAAGGAAAGGAGGAAGGAAGGGAGGAAGGAAUAAACAUAGAUACUGUAUUACAAUACAGGUUAGAAUAUAAGAAGUUAAUAGUGGAGAUCAAACAGUGGGAUGAAGGAAUGCGGACAGGAGCAUGUCUUCUAAUUCAUAGGACCAAGAAUGUCUUCUUGCAAGCAGUGAUAACUAAGUCAGGUUUUAAAGAAAGAAAAGGAUUGAAAAAUGAUCAUUCUAAGGCUAAAAUAAUGCAAAUUGUAGUUUUACUGAGUAUCAUCAAAUGAUAGGGUAAUCAAGGACUGUGCUAACUUUAAUGUGCCAUAUAAAAGGUGACAUUAUGUAUAGAUAAAGGACUGUAUCUAUACUCAGAAAGACAAAAACUGGAAAAGAAUUUGGAAAAAAAUUGGUUUAGGUUAAUCACACCACAAAAAGCCAUAAGCUCAUGGUGGAUUUGACUUGAAUAUUUAAAAUCAUACUAUAAAAGAGAGAAUCAGGAGGUGGAGCCAGGAUGUUAGGGUAGAGGCAUGAAAGCUGAUACUUCCCUGAAAGGCUCCAACAACUAACCUUAAAGUGAUGUGUGAAAAGGUAUACUAGAGUAGCAGAAUCAGCAAAACAAUGGGGUGGGAAAAUUUUUCUACAGAACAGAACUUGAAAGGUAAAUAGAAAAGGUCUGUUUUACUGGGAUGAGAAGGGUGUACAGCCUGCAGCAGUACCACACAAUGAGCCCUAGUGCAAGCCAAUAGUAAACCUCCAUCCUUUCUCCAUUGCUUGAGGUUCUGACCCCUGUCCAAGAGAGCAACAAGACCAUGAAAUCCUGACUAAGCCAACAGCAGAGCAUCUCUGUGUACCCCCAUCAAAGUUCCAAGCUCUGAAGCAAUACUCCAAUCUGGAGCUCUUGGGCAAACCUGUAGUAAAUCUGCUAUGGAUAAAGUGAUAGACCUGUAAUUUGGAAGAUA